GACUGAAGCAAGGGCUGCCAGGAAGAACUGGAGUUUCUGGGGAAUAAAAGCUGGAAGCGUGCCCCCGAAAGUCCCCAGCCCCGGGUGGUCAGUGCGGUGGCCUUGGCCAGGAGCGGUCCUGCGGGAAGCACCUUUGCCCAGGCUGUAAUUUUAAUUUCCACUGGGUGCUGGCAAAGCCCCCCUGGGGGUGAGCCCCAGUGCCUGGCAGGAGCGGAGCGGGCUUACGGGGAGGUGUUCACCCGGUCAGCGUCAGGAACCAUCCUAACUGAGGCCUCGGCUGCCUCUUUCCCUUUGGUCGCCGUGUGUGUGCCGGACACCUCUGGCAGGACUAACCCUGUGGCUUUUAUGUCCAACGUGCUGUAUGCCUGCAGAGGAAAAAUGAUUGGUAAUUGCUUCUGAUCUGUGGAGAAUCUCCUUUGGAAUGAUCAAGCAGAGAGCGUACCAAGGCAAGCAGAGCAUUUCGUUUGGCUCUUUUUUUUUUUCUGGUUUGUCAUUUUCUGUUUGGCUUCAGUGUAUUUUGUGUGCUCCUGUUCAGGAGGCAGUGUAUUUUUACCUUGAAAUUCGGGGUGAUUUUGUUUGUUUGUUUAGGGUUUUUUUCUUUCCCAGUUGAAUCAGGCCUAGUCCGAUGUUGUCCUACAGGACUGCUUUGGUGCUGGGUCAGAGAGAGAGAAGGGGAAUGACUUUUCAUUCUCUUCCAAGCAGAAGUGGGAGGUUGUCUUGCCCCUCCCCAAAGCACUGCAGGCACAUGGGAGUAGCUCCUUGCUGGCCCACCCAGUUCUCUGAGAAACACCUGUGGGGGAGAGGUUUAAGUCUUAAUGACAAUGCUUUGGUCUCUUGGUGGCAAAGAGUGGGUCCUACAGUUCCAGCCUGAUGAGGGAGAACAGGAACCUCUGUUCUUCGUGCAAACCUUCUGUUACUCCUUGUGCAGUCUUUUCUUUCCGUUGUAUGUGUUACUGUCCAGAAUCUCUCUAAGGAAAGCUGUUAGAAAUUUAGAGGUAGGACUGGGAUUUGGGUCUGUUCCCUACAAACUGCUGCAAAGCCUGAAGGACCGGGCUGAUGACUGUUCUUAACAAAGGGGGUUUAUUAAUAUUCUGUCAGAUUUCCCUCAGCUCUGGGCAGGACAGGCAAGGGUUCGGGUCGGGAAUUGUGCAAGCAAGACCUGUUAUUUCUCCUGUGCGUGUGUCAGUUUGGCAGAGCUGGGACAAGGAGGACUCGUGCGGGCACCUCCAGAGACAGCGGGAACGGGAGCGUGCUGCAGAGAAGGAAAGUUCCAGGGGAAUUGCCACGAGAGGAAAUACCUCAGAGGGGCUUCCCUCCAGAUAAGCCCUGAAUAUGCCAGGAGGUUUCAGCCGGGAGAAAGGAGCUGUGGAAGAAAAGCAGCCUAAAAAUAGCCAGCGGGGAUCAUCAGGUUUUCCAGCCAAGAAAAACAAGGACGGAGAUGAGGGAAUUGGGUUCCAAUUCCUAAUGCUUUGGUGGGUGUAGGAAUGAUUUCUGUGUGUUUUCCAGUCCCUUUUGAUUCCUGGGAAGAUUUUAAAAUGAUGGCUUUAGCAAUCAACUAAAUUGGAGAUGUUGUUUUUGAGAGGAAAUGAUGCCAAAUAAAUGCAGAGAGAGAGCGUGGAAUCAUCUGGGGAUCCUGGAGUGGUUUGGGUUGGAAAGGAUCUCAGGGAUCAUCUCCUUCCAUCCCCUGCCACAGGCAGGGACACCUUCUAAUAGACAUCCAGCCUGGCCUUGGCCACUUGCAGGGAUGGGGCAGCCACAGCUUCUCUGUGCCAGGCCACCUCCCCACCCUCCCAGGGAAGAAUGUCUCCCUUAUGUGCAAUCUUUCCCUUUCUUCUCUGCAGGAAGUGGGCUGGGACAAGGGAAUUGGCUCCCACGAGGCUGAGGAUCAGAGCAGGCUCUGCACAGGGGACGACUUCCACUUCCGAACGGGGAAGGGCACCUUCAUCCCCACCCCCGACAUGGGGACGGAGUAACAUCUGCCUGCAGCUGGCUGGAGUUCCCCUUGGCUCUGGGCUCUCUGCCCACGGGCCGGGGAUCAUGGCCAGAGUCCUUCAAACCUGGGGCACAGUGGCCUUCACAGCAUCCCUGCAGCCCGUCCAGGGCAGGCUGCUGCCCAUCGGCCCCUGAUCACAGGUGGAUGUAGAAGUGAUGGUGUUUAGGGAAUGUUGAUUGUAUUUCCCUGACUUUAGCAACGUGGUCAUUAAAAAGAGAAAAAUAACAA
This is a long non-coding RNA of Pseudopipra pipra, 2221 nucleotides long. RefSeq lists it as uncharacterized. The transcript has 5 exons. Lineage: Eukaryota; Metazoa; Chordata; Aves; Passeriformes; Pipridae. The record is from RefSeq and is a predicted model, not a curated record.